Molecule: ribosomal RNA, 690 nt
Filed under: Flavobacterium sp. T156.10.BNT.W.Gill.N
Lineage: Bacteria; Pseudomonadati; Bacteroidota; Flavobacteriia; Flavobacteriales; Flavobacteriaceae
Description: bacterial SSU rRNA
Rfam family: Bacterial small subunit ribosomal RNA
Source: RNAcentral
GUCGAGGGGUAUAGUUCUUCGGAAUUAGAGACCGGCGCACGGGUGCGUAACGCGUAUGCAAUCUACCUUUUGCAGAGGGAUAGCCCAGAGAAAUUUGGAUUAAUACCUCAUAGUAUAGUGAUACCGCAUGGUACUGCUAUUAAAGUCACAACGGCAAAAGAUGAGCAUGCGUCCCAUUAGCUAGUUGGUAAGGUAACGGCUUACCAAGGCUACGAUGGGUAGGGGUCCUGAGAGGGAGAUCCCCCACACUGGUACUGAGACACGGACCAGACUCCUACGGGAGGCAGCAGUGAGGAAUAUUGGACAAUGGGCGCAAGCCUGAUCCAGCCAUGCCGCGUGCAGGAUGACGGUCCUAUGGAUUGUAAACUGCUUUUGUACAGGAAGAAACACUCCCUCGUGAGGGAGCUUGACGGUACUGUAAGAAUAAGGAUCGGCUAACUCCGUGCCAGCAGCCGCGGUAAUACGGAGGAUCCAAGCGUUAUCCGGAAUCAUUGGGUUUAAAGGGUCCGUAGGCGGUUUAGUAAGUCAGUGGUGAAAGCCCAUCGCUCAACGGUGGAACGGCCAUUGAUACUGCUAGACUUGAAUUAUUAGGAAGUAACUAGAAUAUGUAGUGUAGCGGUGAAAUGCUUAGAGAUUACAUGGAAUACCAAUUGCGAAGGCAGGUUACUACUAAUGGAUUGACGCUGAUGG